Small nucleolar RNA from Cavia porcellus (domestic guinea pig), 124 nucleotides. Lineage: Eukaryota; Metazoa; Chordata; Mammalia; Rodentia; Caviidae. The record is from Ensembl.
AUGGCCCUGAAUCAAGGCUGGCAGUUUUCUUAAGCUGUUGGUUUCAAGCAGGAGCCUAAAGUGGUCUGUUGGCAAUUUUAGAACUUUACAAAUGUAAUGGUCAAUUCACUAGAAAGAAACAAUU